RNAcentral lists this ribosomal RNA (433 nucleotides) under uncultured bacterium. Its description in RNAcentral is "partial 16S ribosomal RNA". It matches the Rfam family "Bacterial small subunit ribosomal RNA", at positions 29 to 507 of the family's 1533-position model. The record is from RNAcentral.
AGCGAACGCUGGCGGCAGGCUUAACACAUGCAAGUCGAGCGGGCACUUCGGUGUCAGCGGCAGACGGGUGAGUAACACGUGGGAACGUACCCUUUGGUUCGGAAUAACGCUGGGAAACUAGCGCUAAUACCGGAUACGCCCUUUUGGGGAAAGGCUUGCUGCCGAAGGAUCGGCCCGCGUCUGAUUAGCUAGUUGGUGGGGUAAUGGCCUACCAAGGCGACGAUCAGCAGCUGGUCUGAGAGGAUGAUCAGCCACACUGGGACUGAGACACGGCCCAGACUCCUACGGGAGGCAGCAGUGGGGAAUAUUGGACAAUGGGCGCAAGCCUGAUCCAGCCAUGCCGCGUGAGUGAUGAAGGCCUUAGGGUUGUAAAGCUCUUUUGUCCGGGACGAUAAUGACGGUACCGGAAGAAUAAGCCCCGGCUAACUUCGUG